Gossypium raimondii (Peruvian cotton) is the source of this 87-nucleotide non-coding RNA. The record is from Rfam. NCBI's taxonomy places the organism in Eukaryota, Viridiplantae, Streptophyta, Magnoliopsida, Malvales, Malvaceae.
CACGUCAGCGCGCUUUGCUGACGUGGCAACAAAUCGCAUCCUAGAGGGCACAAUUUGUUUCCAUGUCAGCAAAGUGCGCUGACGUGG